RNAcentral lists this long non-coding RNA (207 nucleotides) under Homo sapiens (human). RNAcentral's name for it is "HSALNT0039523". The record is from RNAcentral. Lineage: Eukaryota; Metazoa; Chordata; Mammalia; Primates; Hominidae.
GAAUAUUUGCCCAUUUCGGAAAGCCACACCAUCACCACAUAAGGAGACUCAAUGCAGGAAGAGUGCCAGAAAAUCCAACUGAGAGUGGGAUGAGGAUGAAAAUCUUCACGGCCUACUGAGGUGCCCACGUCCAACCCUAACGUGGCGUCCGCUUAUGAAGCAUGGAGGUUGUAAUCAACUCUUGGUACGCAAUAAACUGGAAGUUUA